UGCCGUUUUACAAAUGCAGGUCGAGGUU
RNAcentral lists this small RNA (28 nucleotides) under Bombyx mori (domestic silkworm). RNAcentral's name for it is "ovarian small RNA-33820". The record is from RNAcentral. Lineage: Eukaryota; Metazoa; Arthropoda; Insecta; Lepidoptera; Bombycidae.